AACGAACGCUGGCGGCAUGCCUAACACAUGCAAGUCGAACGAGACCUUCGGGUCUAGUGGCGCACGGGUGCGUAACGCGUGGGAACCUGCCCUUAGGUUCGGAAUAACUCCCCGAAAGGGGUGCUAAUACCGGAUAAUGUCUUCGGACCAAAGAUUUAUCGCCUUUGGAUGGGCCCGCGUUGGAUUAGCUAGUUGGUAGGGUAAAAGCCUACCAAGGCGACGAUCCAUAGCUGGUCUGAGAGGAUGAUCAGCCACACUGGGACUGAGACACGGCCCAGACUCCUACGGGAGGCAGCAGUGGGGAAUAUUGGACCAUGGGCGAAAGCCUGAUCCAGCAAUGCCGCGUGAGUGAUGAAGGCCUUAGGGUUGUAAAGCUCUUUUACCCGGGAUGAUAAUGACAGUACCGGGAGAAUAAGCUCCGGCUAACUCCGUG
This 433-nucleotide ribosomal RNA is filed under the name uncultured bacterium. RNAcentral describes it as "partial 16S ribosomal RNA". It matches the Rfam family "Bacterial small subunit ribosomal RNA", at positions 29 to 507 of the family's 1533-position model. The record is from RNAcentral.